CCUACGGGUGGCAGCAGUGAGGAAUAUUGGUCAAUGGCCGGAAGGCUGAACCAGCCAUGCCGCGUGAAGGUCAGUGCCCUAUGGGCGUUAAACUUCUUUUGUGCGGGAGCAAUAAUGGUCACGUGUGGCCAGACGAGAGUACCGUACGAAUAAGCAUCGGCUAACUCCGUGCAAGCAGCCGCGGUAAUACGGGGGAUGCAAGCGUUACACGGAUUUAUUGGGUUUAAAGGGGGCGUAGGCUGUGAGGUAAGUCAGCGGUGAAAUGCCCCCGCUCAACGGGGUGAAGUGCCAUUGAAACUGCCUUGCUGGAAUGCGGAUGCCGUGGGAGGAAUGUGUGGUGUAGCGGUGAAAUGCAUAGAUAUCACACAGAACACCGAUUGCGAAGGCAUCUCACGAAUCCGCGAUUGACGCUGAUGCACGAAAGCGUGGGUAUCAAACUGGAUUAGAUACCCUGGUAGUC
This 460-nucleotide ribosomal RNA is filed under the name uncultured bacterium. Its description in RNAcentral is "partial 16S ribosomal RNA". It matches the Rfam family "Bacterial small subunit ribosomal RNA", at positions 338 to 795 of the family's 1533-position model. The record is from RNAcentral.